GUCUUCAUAUAUUAAGGAUAUAGUUUUAAAAAGAUAAGUAGAAUUUCUUGAAAAACUUAUAUUUUCAUCUCUUACACUCCUGUACAUAUGCCUUCCAAUUCAGGAAGCUUGUUAUGGGUUGCCAUUGUUCAUAUCUUUAAACUUUCAUAAUUUUUUUUGUUCAUAGCAGAUCUUUAUAAGUAGCUGUAUAUCUGUAUUUAUUUUUCAACUAGUUCAUGCAGACUGAAAGUGUAUGAUAUCUGGUAUAGACUUGUUGAAAACUACUGGUCUUUUCUAUUGUCAGUGUGCUGUCAUAGUGAUGAAUAUCCCACUUUAUCCUUUUUUG
Molecule: long non-coding RNA, 325 nt
Filed under: Mytilus galloprovincialis (Mediterranean mussel)
Lineage: Eukaryota; Metazoa; Mollusca; Bivalvia; Mytilida; Mytilidae
Source: RNAcentral